Molecule: long non-coding RNA, 3312 nt
Filed under: Nicotiana tabacum (common tobacco)
Lineage: Eukaryota; Viridiplantae; Streptophyta; Magnoliopsida; Solanales; Solanaceae
Description: long non-coding RNA (NTAB_LNC019173)
Source: RNAcentral
UCAUGCUCUGUGUUCAUAUAGAAUCAAUGAAGAAUAAAUCAAUUAUUGAAGGUGGUAUAAACCACUCAUCUACGGAGUGUACAUUCACCUACCUGAACCUAUUUUCCACACCUGCUUACAUUGUCAUGAUAUAUCUGUAAGGCUUGCAUUGGGUGGAGGAGGAGGUAACAUAUAUAUUUGUUUUCAAUUAAAUAGGCUGGCCUGUCUCUUUUGGUAGUACUAAUUCUUGGAUCUCUUGUUCGUCUUUGCUUUAUCCCCUUUUUCCGCUAUCCUCAGGUUCUGUGCUAAAACAUGUAGUGUUUUAUUGGCAUUUUAAACAACUUUACCACGUCUAUAUGUUACAUGUUUUUGCCGGAUGCUCUAACCAUGCCACUUACUUUUGUGAUGACAUAUUCUUUUUCAUGCCUUGUGCAGUCUGCUUCUCAAGUUCAUGCGGGUCAAUUUGUUACUGGCUUCGUGGAUGGAUCUGUCAAACUAUUCGAUAUUCGGAUGCCAGAAAUGUAAGAUGUAGUACUAGUAAUUCAUGAGCAUAUAUAUGUCCGAACGCACACUUUUUCUUGUAUAUGGAACUCAAGUACAUUAGUCGAAUUGGUAGUGUGGACUUGCAUUAACUUAGACCACAAGUCUUCUGUUUUUCGAGUGGGGUUAGGGUGUAGGAAUUACGUCUCCUGGAGUUCGUGAUUUAUAGAUAUCAGGAUAAUAAUGUUGUCUUUGGCAUUAUGAGGUGAGGACAAAUUCGGACCUCAAAGAUGGGUAUCCGCUCUGCAUGGUUUCUCUCAGAAUGCAUACAUUAGGCACUAUCCACACAUGCAUGUAAUUUUUUGAUGCAUAAAAUACAUCAAUAUUCAGUGGUUUUUGACUGUUUAAUUUGUGUUUGUUUAGGCUUGUUUGUGCAACACGACCUCACCCCGAAGUGGAAAGAGUUGUUGGGGUUGGCUUUCAACCUGGACUUCAACCAGCGAAGGUGAUUAUCAUUAACCUCUUCAUAUCUGGCCUGUCAACUUGUCUGCUACUGAUUUGUCAGUAGACCAUCUUUGAAAAAAAUGUACACACACAUACACACUCUCUGUGUUUAAUAUCACUUGUUACAACAAUUACUUCUUGUGACAAGUUUUUUUCACACAAAAGUUCUAUAUUAUCAAAGCAAAUGAGAAGUCAUGAACUUUCUCUUGUUUCUUCUCAGGUUGUCAGUGCAUCUCAGGCUGGUGAUAUUCAGUUCCUUGAUAUGAGAAAUCUCAAGGAGGCAUACUUGACCAUUUAUGCUCACAGGGGAUCACUUACAUCUCUGGCGGUCCAUCGUCAUGCACCCCUUGUAGCGAGCGGUUCAUCUAAGCAACUUAUCAAAGUGUUCAACCUGGAGGGUGAGCAGUUAGGCACCAUUAGGUAUUUGUCCACCUUUAUGGCUCAGAAGAUAGGAUCUGUAAGAUGUCUUACCUUCCACCCCUAUCAAAUGCUGCUUGCUGCUGGUGCAGCUGAUGCCUGUGUUUCUAUCUAUGCUGAUGAGGUCCCGCCACCAUGAUAACAACUUCAUAGCUUCGUCUACAAACCUUCAGAUUGAGAGACAAGAUUUUCAGACUUAUGGUAUUCCUUUAAGGUGGUCAGUGGUGGAUGCAUUGUUGACAUCUUCUGGUCCCUUCUCGACCUCUCUGAAAUACUGAUUGACUCACUGAGAUUGCAGUUAUCUUCUGGUCAGUUGCUGUCAACCUCUCUCAAAUACGGAUUGGCUCACUGAGGUUGCAUGCUACUUAUUUAUUGAGAAUUUGAGAGUCAGCUUCAGAGUGGUGGAAAGUUGAGAAGAAUCAACAUACUGGAGGGAAGCGUUGGAGAAUAAUUUGAUACAGAGGUAAAAAGAUGUAGAUAUCUUCAUUCUUUGUUGUUCUAGUUUGUAAAUUCCAUUUUCUCUAGUUUCCUGCUUUAGUUCAAUCUUCUCUCUGCUUAGCUUACCUUCUUUUCUCCAUUCUCACCCAUUUAAGUCAAUUUGUACUUAUCAACUAACCUCCAUUUGUAAUGCCUUCACCUGAAUAAUAAUUUUAAUGUUAAAAACAGUCCUCAAAAGGGAUGAUAGUUGGACAAUCUUUUACUUUUGGAUCACCUAUUUUUGCUCACUUUCAUAUAAACAGCAGUUUAACGACUGCAAUCGACUUCAAUAAUGAGUUUGAAUAGGUUUAGCUAUUCAUUGACUACGUCAAUAAAGCACAGCUUUUUAACGACUGAUGUCCGAUAUUGGAUCAGGCUAGUCCAUUUUUUGUUCUCUCCAUUUCCAAAGUUGGGUUUUUUUUUUGACGCUACAUUUAAAUAUCAAAGGUUCAGAUUUAUUUGUGGUGGGGGGGGGGCAGAAACUAAUGAUAAAUCAGAAAUGUUUUUUCUCUAUAUUUGUAUUUGGUUCAUUCUUCUUAAUUUUCAAAAAAAGAAGAAAAUUGUUAUUGCUUUUUUUUUUUCCAACGACUUCGGGUUAUUACAAUUUACCAUUUUACGAAAUAUUUUCCUCUCUUUAAUCAAAUAAGUGACUCUAUCUUUUAAGUUACGAAUUGGAUGGACUAAAGGAAUAGUAUUAUAUGUGAAGAUAUGUCGCAAACUAAAUGUAACUUCAAAAAAAGAAAAAACUAAAUGUAACUUCUACCUGUAAUUCUCUGAGAGUGAAUUUUUAGAAAUCACUAUUGUUUAGUGGCUAUUAACUUUAUAUAGCUACUAUUCAGUUGUUACGGCAGUGUAUGCGUUGUAUUCGCGCUGCUGUAUUUAUGAAUACAGUAAUAAAAAGCGCCUAAAAAUUAAGGUAGUUCAACUGUACGUGCAUGUAUUCACAUGCAUCCGCGCCAAGUAUUCAUGAAUACAACAGUCUAGCUGUAAGUGCAUAUAUUCAUAUGUAUUCGCGCCAUGUAUUCACGAAUACAGUAACAUAAAUAGCAUAUUUCAUUCCUCAAUGAUAGUAUAUACCAUAAAUACUUAUUUUGCUAUAAAAUAUAAAAUGAGCUAUGGAAAAUAAUAUCUUAAAAUAAUUUUGGUUUAUAAUAAAUAUGGUGUAUACCUUUGCCACAGGAUUUAAGAACAUGCAGGAAAGCUUUUAAGAACAUGCAGGAAAGCUUUUAACUGAGCUAUUUUCUUGCAUAAGUACGUAGUCUAUUGCCUUCUUGCGUUCCCACUGGUCAGCUGGUUUCAGUGCCCUGAUAUGAAAAUUAUCAUUAGAUAAAUAACUUCGUGCUGUUAUAAAAUAAAAGCAAUUUAGUAAAACAUGAACAAGAAAUAAAAGUAAUUUAGUAAAACAUGAACAAAAAUAAAGAUAGAGAAAAGGAAGAGAUUCUCUUCUUCUAUUGU